RNAcentral lists this ribosomal RNA (810 nucleotides) under Vibrio sp. RNAcentral describes it as "bacterial SSU rRNA". It matches the Rfam family "Bacterial small subunit ribosomal RNA", at positions 232 to 1034 of the family's 1533-position model. Lineage: Bacteria; Pseudomonadati; Pseudomonadota; Gammaproteobacteria; Vibrionales; Vibrionaceae. The record is from RNAcentral.
UAGGUGGGAUUAGCUAGUUGGUGAGGUAAGGGCUCACCAAGGCGACGAUCCCUAGCUGGUCUGAGAGGAUGAUCAGCCACACUGGAACUGAGACACGGUCCAGACUCCUACGGGAGGCAGCAGUGGGGAAUAUUGCACAAUGGGCGCAAGCCUGAUGCAGCCAUGCCGCGUGUGUGAAGAAGGCCUUCGGGUUGUAAAGCACUUUCAGUCGUGAGGAAGGCGGUGUAGUUAAUAGCUGCAUCGUUUGACGUUAGCGACAGAAGAAGCACCGGCUAACUCCGUGCCAGCAGCCGCGGUAAUACGGAGGGUGCGAGCGUUAAUCGGAAUUACUGGGCGUAAAGCGCAUGCAGGUGGUUUGUUAAGUCAGAUGUGAAAGCCCGGGGCUCAACCUCGGAAUUGCAUUUGAAACUGGCAGACUAGAGUACUGUAGAGGGGGGUAGAAUUUCAGGUGUAGCGGUGAAAUGCGUAGAGAUCUGAAGGAAUACCGGUGGCGAAGGCGGCCCCCUGGACAGAUACUGACACUCAGAUGCGAAAGCGUGGGGAGCAAACAGGAUUAGAUACCCUGGUAGUCCACGCCGUAAACGAUGUCUACUUGGAGGUUGUGGCCUUGAGCCGUGGCUUUCGGAGCUAACGCGUUAAGUAGACCGCCUGGGGAGUACGGUCGCAAGAUUAAAACUCAAAUGAAUUGACGGGGGCCCGCACAAGCGGUGGAGCAUGUGGUUUAAUUCGAUGCAACGCGAAGAACCUUACCUACUCUUGACAUCCAGAGAACUUUCCAGAGAUGGAUUGGUGCCUUCGGGAACUCUGAGA